This is a non-coding RNA of Candidatus Aminicenantes bacterium RBG_16_66_30, 267 nucleotides long. NCBI's taxonomy places the organism in Bacteria, Candidatus Aminicenantota. The record is from Rfam.
CCGUGCUAGACGGGGAGCUAGCGGUGCCCUGUAGCCCACGAUCCGCUCCAGUGGGGUCGAAUUCCCUGCCGAGGCUUCCCUCUUUCUGGCCGGUGCCCUUGCACGUGGCGUUGAAGGCCGGGGUCCUGCGCGAAGGGCUUCCCGCGAAUCCCGUCAGGACCGGAAGGUAGCAGCGGUAACGGGACUGUUCCUUGUGCGGCAGUCAACCUCGCCGGAGCCGGCGGCUCGGGACACGCAGGGAGAGUGCUGUCGGAGCAGGGUGCACGG